Molecule: ribosomal RNA, 571 nt
Filed under: Bacillus sp. CH50
Lineage: Bacteria; Bacillati; Bacillota; Bacilli; Caryophanales; Bacillaceae
Description: bacterial SSU rRNA
Rfam family: Bacterial small subunit ribosomal RNA
Source: RNAcentral
UUUUGAAGAUCAGCGGCGGACGGGUGAGUAACACGUGGGCAACCUGCCUGUAAGACUGGGAUAACUUCGGGAAACCGGAGCUAAUACCGGAUAAUCCUUUCCCUCACAUGAGGGAAAGCUGAAAGACGGUUUCGGCUGUCACUUACAGAUGGGCCCGCGGCGCAUUAGCUAGUUGGUGAGGUAACGGCUCACCAAGGCAACGAUGCGUAGCCGACCUGAGAGGGUGAUCGGCCACACUGGGACUGAGACACGGCCCAGACUCCUACGGGAGGCAGCAGUAGGGAAUCUUCCGCAAUGGACGAAAGUCUGACGGAGCAACGCCGCGUGAACGAUGAAGGCUUUCGGGUCGUAAAGUUCUGUUGUCAGGGAAGAACAAGUACCGGAGUAACUGCCGGUACCUUGACGGUACCUGACCAGAAAGCCACGGCUAACUACGUGCCAGCAGCCGCGGUAAUACGUAGGUGGCAAGCGUUGUCCGGAAUUAUUGGGCGUAAAGCGCGCGCAGGCGGUUCCUUAAGUCUGAUGUGAAAGCCCCCGGCUCAACCGGGGAGGGUCAUUGGAAACUGGGGAA